Saccostrea cuccullata (small rock oyster) is the source of this 422-nucleotide long non-coding RNA. RefSeq lists it as uncharacterized. The record is from RefSeq and is a predicted model, not a curated record. NCBI's taxonomy places the organism in Eukaryota, Metazoa, Mollusca, Bivalvia, Ostreida, Ostreidae. The transcript has 3 exons.
AAAGAGCAUCUACAGUAUCAGGAUACAAUUUAAAGACUAUGGACAGCAAUUCCAUAAUCGUCAAAGAGGAAGAUUGGCGGGUUUUUCUCUAUAUGUUUCGAACACAUCAGAAAUCAAUAACAGUUAUUUGUGUUACCACAACGGACCAGAAUUACCUCCUCUAGAUAAUAUCAAUAUCUGCACCAUGCAUGGACGUUAUGUCACAUUUUACAAUGAAAGAAAUGAGACAUCAUAUCCUGUCGGUUUACGAGAAUACCAUCAUAACAGAGUUAUGUGAAGUUAAUGUGAUGGGCUGUGAAAAGGAUGGAUUUUAUGGUCAAAACUGUGAUCUUGCAUGCCCUCUUCACUGCCAGGAAGGAAGAUGUCAUAUAACAAAUGGAACCUGUCUUGGUUGUACAGCUGGCUGGAUUGGAGAUUUCUGU